Molecule: ribosomal RNA, 522 nt
Filed under: uncultured bacterium
Lineage: Bacteria
Description: bacterial SSU rRNA
Rfam family: Bacterial small subunit ribosomal RNA
Source: RNAcentral
AGGGUUCGAUUCUGGCUCAGGAUGAACGCUAGCUACAGGCUUAACACAUGCAAGUCGAGGGGCAGCAUGAUCUUAGCUUGCUAAGAUUGAUGGCGACCGGCGCACGGGUGAGUAACGCGUAUCCAACCUUCCCUGUACUAGGGGAUAGCCCGGCGAAAGUCGGAUUAAUACCCUAUGUUUUCCGAAGCGAGCAUUUAAUUUGGAACAAAGGUUUACCGGUAUAGGAUGGGGGAUGCGUCUGAUUAGAUAGUAGGCGGGGUAACGGCCCACCUAGUCGACGAUCAGUAGGGGUUCUGAGAGGAAGGUCCCCCACAUUGGAACUGAGACACGGUCCAAACUCCUACGGGAGGCAGCAGUGAGGAAUAUUGGUCAAUGGACGAGAGUCUGAACCAGCCAAGUAGCGUGCAGGAUGACGGCCCUAUGGGUUGUAAACUGCUUUUAUAUAGGGAUAAAGUGAGGGACGUGUCCCUUAUUGUAGGUACUAUAUGAAUAAGGACCGGCUAAUUCCGUGCCAGCCGCUGC